AUUGAACGCUGGCGGCAGGCCUAACACAUGCAAGUCGAGCGGAGCGGCGGACGGGUGAGUAAUUCCUAGGAAUCUGCCUGUUCGUGGGGGAUAACGUCCGGUAACGGGCGCUAAUACCGCCUCCUCUCAGAUGCGCCUAGGUCGGAUUGGCUAGUUGGUGGGGUAAAGGCCUACCAAGGCGACGAUCCGUAGCUGGUCUGAGAGGAUGAUCAGUCACACUGGAACUGAGACACGGUCCAGACUCCUACGGGAGGCAGCAGUGGGGAAUAUUGGACAAUGGGCGAAAGCCUGAUCCAGCCAUGCCGCGUGUGUGAAGAAGGUCUUCGGAUUGUAAAGCACUUUAAGUGGGGAGGCGUUACCCGCAGAAUAAGCACCGGCUAACUCCGUGCCAGCAGCCGCGGUAAUUC
Molecule: ribosomal RNA, 407 nt
Filed under: uncultured bacterium
Lineage: Bacteria
Description: partial 16S ribosomal RNA
Rfam family: Bacterial small subunit ribosomal RNA
Source: RNAcentral